GAGGACAAUGCUUGGCUGCCUGCUGGCCUUCUAGACUCCAGGCUUUACCAGCCACGGUUGGGUGGCAGCUACACCGCGCUGGUGCACACCUGGGGCAGCGACACUGAGGAAGGGGACUCCUGAAAGGAGAAGAGGCUGGGUGCUGAGAGCUGUGCCAGACACCGCAGGACUUGCCCAGCGUCCCCUGGCUAUGAGCUGGAGUUGCAGAUUCCAGGAGCUGAGAGUUUGAACCAUGGAUUGAGCGUCGCAGUGGGAGUCAGAGGACCACCUGCCUGUAGAACCAGGCCUGAUGGACCCGUGCUUCCUGAGGGACAGACUGUAUGGGCUGCACAGGUAGGGCCUAGGGAGCCUCAGCGAGCUCCCUGGGCUGUCAGGGCCAGAGGAGGAGGCCCCCUGGGCUCCG
Long non-coding RNA from Hipposideros armiger (great roundleaf bat), 403 nucleotides. RefSeq lists it as uncharacterized. The transcript has 3 exons. Lineage: Eukaryota; Metazoa; Chordata; Mammalia; Chiroptera; Hipposideridae. The record is from RefSeq and is a predicted model, not a curated record.